RNAcentral lists this long non-coding RNA (945 nucleotides) under Phasianus colchicus (ring-necked pheasant). RNAcentral describes it as "lncRNA (ENSPCLG00000015592.1)". The record is from RNAcentral. Lineage: Eukaryota; Metazoa; Chordata; Aves; Galliformes; Phasianidae.
GGAGGGGGGGAGGGGGGGAAACGCUUUAUAGAGGCAUCCUCCUCUCCUUACCUGUGUCAGCGCGUGGUCUGCUCCAGCACUGGCUGUGAGAAGGAAGGAUGCUCCGAGGAGGAAGGAUGCUCGUGGGGAUCCAGCAGGAGCAGCCCGCGGGUACCAGCCCGGCGUCAGCGCUGCAGCCUCCGCCACACGCACCGAGCGCUGGGAGAGUCCAUUGCGACAGCCUGAGAAGGUCAGGCCCGGCCCUCCAUCAGGAUACGGCACAGAGCCCUCCGACGGCUUUUUGGGGCGGUGGGGGGACACAAAGCAACGCUUUCCCACGUGCCGUGAGCUGAGCCAGCCUCAGCCCCGGGAGCUCAGCCCCAGAGCCAUCAGCAGAGCCCUACAGGACCCCGACGUCCUUCAAGCAGAGGAUGAGGAAGGAUGUGGGCGCACACGAGGCUGAAGUCUGCCACGGGCACAGCGAGGGUUGGAGAGAGUCCCCAGACUGGCACUGGAGCAGCACAGACUCUCAGAUCACAGAGCAAGGGUUGGAGGCACAGAACUGAGGCUGGCACGCAGUGGGAGCAGCAUAGGGAAGGAUGGAGCUGGAAAAGAACUGAGCUCCCAUUGGAAAUAACCCCCAAACGAUGCACUGUGGAUCUGUAACCCAACUGAAGGAGCUCGAGCAUAGCCAAGGCGAGCUGCAGAGCUCCAUCUUCCACUCAUCCCAGCCAGGCUCCCUCAAAUCCCCAACAUGCAGACAGUGGGGAGGGGGCUCUGAUCCCAUCCAUCCCUUCCCACCCAGCCUGGACCACGGCUGUUCCCUAUCCUGGAGGGAGAAGACAUCUAUAUAUUUAUUUAUUUAGUUAUUUUGCCAGGAACAGCACUAAAAUAGAACUCCAUGCACACACGCACGCAUCACAUCAGCUUAACCAGAGAGGCAGGGCUGAGGUGGCUGUGAAAAUC